UGGGGAAUUUUGCACAAUGGGGGAAACCCUGAUGCAGCGACGCCGCGUGAUUUAGAAGGCCUUCGGGUUGUAAAAAUCUUUUCUAUGGGAAGAAAAUGACAGUACCAUAGGAAUAAGGACCGGCUCAUUACGUGCCAGCAGCCGCGGUAAUACGUAAGGUCCGAGCGUUGUCCGGAAUCAUUGGGCGUAAAGGGUACGUAGGCGGGUAAGCAAGUUAGAAGUGAAAUCCUAUAGCUCAACUAUAGUAAGCUUUUAAAACUGCUCAUCUUGGGGUAUGGAAGGGAAAGUGGAAUUCCUAGUGUAGCGGUGAAAUGCGCAGAUAUUAGGAGGAAUACCGGUGGCGAAGGCGACUUUCUGGCCAUAACCUGACGCUGAGGUACGAAAGCGUGGGUAGCAAACAGG
RNAcentral lists this ribosomal RNA (402 nucleotides) under bacterium. RNAcentral describes it as "partial 16S ribosomal RNA". It matches the Rfam family "Bacterial small subunit ribosomal RNA", at positions 355 to 776 of the family's 1533-position model. The record is from RNAcentral.